RNAcentral lists this ribosomal RNA (385 nucleotides) under uncultured bacterium. RNAcentral's name for it is "bacterial SSU rRNA". It matches the Rfam family "Bacterial small subunit ribosomal RNA", at positions 28 to 406 of the family's 1533-position model. The record is from RNAcentral.
GACGAACGCUGGCGGCGCGCUUAACACAUGCAAGUCGAGCGAGAACCAGGACUUCGGUCCUGGGGACAGCGGCGAACGGGUGAGUAACACGUGGGUAAUCUGCCCUCGAUUCUGGGAUAGCCCGGGGAAACCCGGAUUAAUACCGGAUAGCCUUUCGAGCCUUCGGGCGCGAAAGAAAAGGUAGCUUCGGCCUCCGAUCGAGGAUGAGCCCGCGGUGGAUUAGCUUGUUGGCGGGGUAAUGGCCCACCAAGGCGACGAUCCAUAGCUGGUCUGAGAGGACGAUCAGCCACACUGGGACUGAGACACGGCCCAGACUCCUACGGGAGGCAGCAGUGGGGAAUCUUGCGCAAUGGGCGAAAGCCUGACGCAGCGACGCCGCGUGGGG